Molecule: long non-coding RNA, 5292 nt
Organism: Capsicum annuum
Lineage: Eukaryota; Viridiplantae; Streptophyta; Magnoliopsida; Solanales; Solanaceae
Exons: 2
Source: RefSeq, a predicted model, not a curated record
CAAAGGGGCCCCCACAGAUUUUCUCCAUCAUCAUUAUCAAUGUGCCCUCACAGCAAAGAGGAUUAUUCACACAUAGAAGGAGUCCCCAUUCUCCAUGAACAACAAAAUCUACAAAAUCAUAACUCACCCUCACUGAAUGGACACACAAAAAAAACCACACACACGGAGAGAGAGUAACGAAGAGAGAGUAGCGCAGAGAGAGAAGAUCGAGCAGGAGAAGGUUCAAAUCAAUUCGGAUCCUUACUUCUCAAUAUCGGGUUUGGAGUUUUAUUUGCUGUCGAGGUUUGGUUUAAGAGUUCGAACGCGAUUCUCUUUCUGUUAUAUUGAAAUCUUCAAAUUAAGGUCAAAAUUCUCAAACUCUAUCUCUUUUCAUUUUAUAUGUGAUGAUAUCGUUGAUUUGUGUAAUUCAUGUUUGAGUUUGGUGAUUAAUUUUUGAUAGUAUGUUUGAGUUUUCUUUAAUUGUCGUAGUUUGUUUGGUUGAUUUAAUUGAGACUUGCUUAAUCAUAUGAUUGAGAAUGAAUCAGGACGGAGAUUGAAAAUUGGUAAAAGUGAAUAUUAUGGUAUUUUGAUUCAUUAUUGAUAUUGAACGUAAUAUGUUGUCGAGCGGGCAGACCAACAUUAGGACGGGUAGGCAAGUUUAGAAUUGGUGGAUUAUUUGAAUCUUUGAAAUAUUUGUUGAAUGUCUUGUUUACCGCAUUUUAAAAGUAUAUUCAUUUGGCCGGGGAAUGCUCUGAGGUAUUUGUAUUUAUUCACCGGGGAAUGCCCCGACGUACUAUGUUGGUGGAAAAUGAUCGUGAUGAAGAACCGAGGCAGCGGGUAAAGCAACGGAGUUUAGCCUAGGACUAGUUUAGAAUAGGAUUUAUUUAUUUUUUGCAUUUUUCUAUUCCAGUUUGUAAUAAUUGGACUGGACAUUAUAAUUUUGAAUUUUUUUUGUUUUGUUGGUUUGAUUGAUUGUUUUAUGUGUUUAAUGUGGUUUAUACAUUCGUAGUGUCAAAAUUAGCCGAUACUCUCCACCAAGCGACCAUGGUCGAACCACGGGAUCGAGGGGUGCCUAACACCUUCCCCUCGGUCAACAGAUUUCUUAGCCGGAAUUUCUAUUCGCAAACCAGUUUAAAGAGUCAAAUGAUUUUGAAAAGGAUUUUCCAAUGGUGACUUGGCACACCAGAUUAUGCCAAGUGGCAACUCUGAUUUCAAAUGUAAAAACAAUCCUUUUUCGAAACAAAUCGUUUUCUGUUGUCUCUUAAUAAUAAGAACCCUUUCGAACAUAAUCGUAAAUCGAUAUCUUUUUGGAGUUGAAAAAAAGGGGUGUGACAGCUCUGACGACUCUAUUGGGGAGUCAUUUUAGAAUUCGAACUUAUUUUUUGGAGUUGUAUCGGCUUAAUUUGGAAUUAUGGGUGUAUAAACGUUGUUUGUGUUGUUUUGUGUUAUUGUUUUUUUUCAUUGUUGAGUGUCUGCAUGCUCUUUGUUUAUAGUUUUUAUCUAUGUGUUACCGCUUUAUAUCUGGCAUCAUGUGCAUAACCCGAGUCAUUCUUUCUGCAACAAGUUCGUAGUGCACGCUGUGUACACGACCUCUAGUUGAGCCACCCUUAUCUUAGGAGGGGGAGCCGUCGGCUGGUAUGGAAUGGAUGAAAAGCUAAAUGAGCCACUAUCGACCAUACGCUCCCUCGAACAGCCUUGUUAGUGAACCCCAGCGUAGGUCAACUUUUAGGCUAUGCUUAUCUGCAUCAUAUUAAAGCCUAGCAGGACCCACUUGGUCCUUUGUAGGAAACUCACCUCUAAGGCAUCCCUACGUGCUAAAUGUUGCAUCUUUGAGGGUAAUGAGGUCAUUUGACAGACUGAUUUGGGCAAAAACAUGUGUUAGAAGCAAAGUGUGUAAGCAAGAAAUUGUUAAAAAAAAAAAGAAGAAAAAAGAGUGAAAAAAAAGUGAUUUGGUAGUUUUUAGGAUUCUUUAUGGCUUUUGUUUUUCACAAUUCAAUUUUUUUUUUGUUUUAACUCUUUGCACUCAUUUCCCAAAUAAUCAAAAGCGUUAAAAAAAAUUCUUUUAUUUAUUUAGUAAGUAUUCACAAUUCAAAAACUUCAAAAAUAUAUUUUUUUUCCCUUUCAAUAGGAGCUUUGUACAUUUUUAUAUAACGAAAAUAUCAAAAAAAAAAUUUCUUUCAUAGUUGUUGGUGUUAGUUUCUAAUUAAAAACCCAAAAAAAAUUUUAUUCGUCUGUCUUUAGUUGUGUCUCUCAAUUCAGGGUUUAGUUUGUCAUUUAAUCCUUAAUUGUCCAAUCUGGACGAACUACGCACCCCUGAUUCUCCUCUCUCGGGAGUGAGAUACGUAGGCAACCUAUUGUUGGUUCGGGGAUCUUAUUUGAAAAAUUCAAAAAGAUUUUCUUCGCUCUUUAUUAGAGUAGGUGUCAUAUACUUCUUUAAAAGAAAACUGCAAAAAGAUAUUCCUUUAAUAGUUUCAAGUUUCAUUUUCGUAUGAAAUUCAACAUUGAAAACCCAAAAAGAUUUCUCUCUGGUAAUCAUAGAUGUCAUUUUGUAUAGGGAUGUUAAAGCUAAAAAAUUCAAAAAGGUUUUCGUCAAUUCUUUUGAAAAUUUGUUAUUUUCUUUUCUUUUUAAAGUUUCAAGUAAAAGGAAAAAAAAGAAAAAAAAGUUUAAUUGACCAUUUUGGUAAGACUUCAUGAACUACGUACAACUGAUUCUCCUCUUUCGGGUAGGCGCCCUUUCAGGGUUUGGUGACCUUUUCAAAAAGAACAAAAAAAGUUUUUGAAAAAGUGUUGAAUUCUAACACAUUGGUUAUCUCCUGUUCAGUUAGUUUAAGGUGGUUAGUUUGUGGCAUUUUGGCUGGUCCUCUAUAUUGCAUCAAGUAACAGAGAAAGUUAUGGCCAACAAGGAUACCGAGUUUGUUGUCACUAAUCAGAUAGGGAGUUUGGGAAAUGAGAAUUUAGGAGCUAAUGAAGAGAUUCGGAAAUUAAGGCAGCAAAUGAUAGAAAUGCAUCGAGUUUGGGCUAAUGGGUUGCCACCUCCUCCAUCUCCCGCUGAUAAUCUGAAAUAUUUUUCUAGUUUGCCUCCAGUGUCACAUGCACAAUUUCCUAUUUUGGUCGACACGCCACAACAUGCAUCAGGACCUACUUCGGGGCAACAGUAUCCAAACACUUCCAAUAUUCAUCUCCUCACUCCUCAAUACAAAAUUACCACAUGCUCGGCUCCGCCUGCUGUUCAUGCUUUUGUAGUAGUCCUACUCCCAUCUAAAUCUCCUGCUUUUAAUGUCAAUCCAACGGUUGUGAUUCCUCACUCUACAAGCGACCCUGUAUUGAAUAUUUUUAGUGAUCUGCAUUAUGCUCUCGAGCCCACAUUUAAGUCGACUGGUCCUUACGACUGCCCUCAACUGCCUGAAUUUCCUCCUAAUACUAAGAAGCCUAUUAUGACAGAAGAACAAGAGGAAAUGGCCAUAAAAUUGAGAAGUUUGGAACUGACUAUGAAAAACUUGUGAGGACUUGGGGGGUAUAAAAGUGUCUCAUAUAAAGAUCUGUGCAUGUUUCCUGGUGUACAUCCUCCUCUUGGUUUUAAAAUGCUGAAGUUUGAGAAGUAUGAUGGACAUAGUGAUCCUGUAGCACAUUUGAGAUGCUAUUGCAACCAGUUAAGGAGCGCUGGAGGGAAGGAAGAAUUACUCAUGGCAUAUUUUGGUGAGAGUCUUUUAGGUCUAGCUUCAGAAUAGUUUGUUGACCAAGACAUCGACAAGUGGAACAACUGGGAUGACCUUGCUAAUGAAUUCAUGCAACAAUUUCAAUACAAUAUGUAGUUGAUUCCUGAUAAGAAAUCCCUGACUAAUAUGAAGAAAAAGAGUACUGAAACUUUCAGAGAGUAUGCGAUUAGAUGGCGUGAACAAGCUGCUAGGGUGAAACCACAAAUGAAAAAAAGUAAGAUAGCGGAGGCAUUUAUUCAAACGCAGGAUGAAACAUAUUAUCAACACUUGUUACCUGCAUUAGACAAACCAUUUUUGAGGUCCUCAAAAUAGGGGAGAUGAUAGAGGAUGAAAUUAAGAUCGGUCGCAUUGUGAGUUUUGCAAUAUUGAAAGCAACUACUCAAGCAAUUUAAAUAGGUUCGGGAAGUGUUGGAGGAAAGAAGAAUGAGGAAGAUGCAUCUUCCAUUAUAGUUGGACAAUAGGCACGAGCAAGAGGACCAUACCAUCGUUACCCACGGGCUCAAGCCCAAAAGUUUAUGCCCAAGUUUCACAGGAUCUUUCCCAAAAUCCAUUAUAUUCCAUUCUCCCAUCUCCAUAUCAAGUGUAUAAUGCGCAACCAUAUGUUCAACCCCCAUCUUACCCACGCUGGCACGCACCAACUCUGCCGAGUUAUCCUCUAACUCCACAUAUAUACCGAAGCGCUUCAAGGCCUGGUUUUCAAUUUAAGCCAAAUAAUGAAAUGAGACAGAAGUCGACGGAUAGCUUCACACCAAUUGGAGAGUCGUAUGUAAGUUUAUUCCAGAGAUUAGUAGAGUAGGGCAUGAUCACUCCUCUUCUUGGGUAUACUCCUGACCUACACUCAAGAAGUUUUGAUCCUAAUUUACGAUGUGCAUAUCAUUCUGAUGUUUAGGGUCACAGUAUUGAAGAUUGUCGUGAUUUGAAAAGAAAAAUUGAAAAAUGAUUCAAGAUAAAUCAAUCAUGGUGCAGAACAUUGAUAGCGAGGAAAGCUCUAGUCAUGCUGAUAUGCAAAUCAGUGGCUAAGAUGUCAGGCUGAGCAAUUGAGAAGUCACCCCUCUCCCCUACUAGGAAGAGAUCUGGUAGCUUGUUUUGUUUUAUUUUCUAUUGUCCGAAUUAUUUCAGGGUUGUAGUUCGGGAUUUAUCUUAUUUUAUCCUUUUGCUGUUUAUGUUCAAACCCUUCUAUUUUUUGUUUCAACUAAAUGAAGUGUCCCAUUUUUCUUUGUGUUUUAAAUAUGUUUUGUUUGUUUAUUUUCUUUACAUAGUACAUUUUAUGUUGACUCUGGUGAUAUGACAUGUUAGUGAAAUUUUCAGCCAGAUCUUAAAAUUCAGUCUAAGCAUGAACAUUAAAUCAAAGGGUUAAAGUUAGAAAAGAGAGCAUAUGAGAAAAUAGAUAGAGUGCUAAGAUAUUUGGUGAAAAGUUAAGACAAUUAUUUUGAGAAUCACAAGAACAACUUGGUCAUCGAUCGAAAGGCAGGUCCUAAUUAGGUCAAAUAGAGGACGUGUGAUCUCUAUAUCAAGAGAAAUAGGAAGAAAAUUAGCUCCACGAAGUCAUGAGUCCUUCAGCAUGAGGAAUGUACAACAAAGUGGAGUUGUAUGUUGG